RNAcentral lists this long non-coding RNA (295 nucleotides) under Sorghum bicolor (sorghum). Its description in RNAcentral is "long non-coding RNA (SBIC_LNC010399)". The record is from RNAcentral. Lineage: Eukaryota; Viridiplantae; Streptophyta; Magnoliopsida; Poales; Poaceae.
ACCCUUAGGAGCUUUUCAUGUGGUUAAAUUAAGAUAUUCACUUGCACACAUCUACUACACCAUCCGCCACCAUUCAUUAAAAUUGCUAAAAAAUAUUAUCACUCACUGUCCCAAGUGUUGUUAUUCUCUCUCUCCAAAAUUAUUCAAUGCAGAAGAGGCAUGAGUUGUGCAAAAAUAUGCGAGGAAAUAAAAAGGGGCAAGUGCCCGGAACCUCAAAAAAGAAAGAAAAAGAGUGAGACGAGAGGAAAAAAUGGACAAGUGUCCGGAGUAGAAUUAGGGGUACAAAGAUGCCCAC